Molecule: ribosomal RNA, 305 nt
Filed under: uncultured bacterium
Lineage: Bacteria
Description: bacterial SSU rRNA
Rfam family: Bacterial small subunit ribosomal RNA
Source: RNAcentral
UUAUCCUACGGGACGCAGCAGGGAAUCUUCCACAAUGGGCGAAAGCCUGAUGGAGCAACGCCGCGUGGGUGAAGAAGGUCUUCGGAUCGUAAAACCCUGUUGUUAGAGUAGAAAGUGCGUGAGAGUAACUGUUCACGUUUCGACGGUAUCUAACCAGAAAGCCACGGCUAACUACGUGCCAGCAGCCGCGGUAAUACGUAGGUGGCAAGCGUUAUCCGGAUUUAUUGGGCGUAAAGGGAACGCAGGCGGUCUUUUAAGUCUGAUGUGAAAGCCUUCGGCUUAACCGGAGUAGUGCAUUGGAAACU